This 522-nucleotide long non-coding RNA is filed under the name Phoenix dactylifera (date palm). RNAcentral describes it as "long non-coding RNA (PDAC_LNC017658)". The record is from RNAcentral. Lineage: Eukaryota; Viridiplantae; Streptophyta; Magnoliopsida; Arecales; Arecaceae.
AUUGGCUUGCACUUUGGUGUUUCAAUCCUGAGCCAAUUCAUUUUAAUUGAUUUUGAUGCUAUGAUCUUUAAAGGAGUAAAAGAAAGUCUUUAAGAGAGCUUUAAAAGAACUUUCAAAGCCCUGAAUUUUAUGUAUCCUACAUUGCAUAAAUUCAUAUUUUGGUAUCUAUGCUCCAAUAUUUUUAUAUCAUGAAAGAACUUUGAAGUCAUUAAGAAUUAAGGAUUCAACAUAAUCUUAUGUUUUUCGAGUAUAUAAGUUUUGAUCUUUAUCUGCUCUUAAACUAUACUCUAAAAAUUAAUUAGAUUGCUCUCAUGUUGCUAUAUACUUAAUAUAUUAAAAAAAAGGGUAUUGGAUUUUCAUUCGUGCUUUCUUUGAAUAUUAUUCUUGAUACUCCUUGAAAUAACUUGAAAAAGAUUCCAUCUACACUUGAUUUCAAAACUAUCUUUGGAAUCUACAUUUAGAGAUCACUUCUGGCUUACAUCCUUAAUAUCUCAUUCCUAAAGCCAAACACAUAGAAAUAAG